UGGGGAAUAUUGGACAAUGGGGGCAACCCUGAUCCAGCAAUGCCGCGUGUGUGAAGAAGGCCUGCGGGUUGUAAAGCACUUUGAGUGGGAAAGAAGGCCUGAGGGUUAAUACCCUUUGGGAUUGACGUUACCCACAGAACAAGCACCGGCUAACUCCGUGCCAGCAGCCGCGGUAAUACGGAGGGUGCGAGCGUUAAUCGGAAUUACUGGGCGUAAAGGGCGCGUAGGCGGUUCGAUAAGUCUGAUGUGAAAGCCCUGGGCUUAACCUGGGAACGGCAUUGGAAACUGUCUGGCUAGAGUGUGAUAGAGGGGUGUGGAAUUUCCGGUGUAGCAGUGAAAUGCGUAGAGAUCGGAAGGAACACCAGUGGCGAAGGCGGCACCCUGGAUCAACACUGACGCU
Molecule: ribosomal RNA, 400 nt
Filed under: uncultured bacterium
Lineage: Bacteria
Description: bacterial SSU rRNA
Rfam family: Bacterial small subunit ribosomal RNA
Source: RNAcentral